GCUAAAGCUAGCCCAAACACAUUCAAACUCAACUAUCAUAUACAAAUAAACCAAAACAUUUAGUUACCCUUAAAAGUAUAGGAGAUAGAAAUUUAACUUGGCGCUAUAGAGAUAGUACCGCAAGGGAAAGAUGAAAGAAAAUUUAAAAGCAUAAAAUAGCAAAGAUUACCCCUUGUACCUUUUGCAUAAUGAGUUAGCUAGACAUAAUCUAACAAAGAGAACUUAAGCUAGAUACCCCGAAACCAGACGAGCUACCUAUGAACAAUCUUUACAGGAUGAACUCGUCUAUGUUGCAAAAUAGUGAGAAGAUUUGUAGGUAGAGGUGAAAUGCCUAACGAGCCUGGUGAUAGCUGGUUACCCGGGAUAGAAUUUUAGUUCAACUUUAAACUUACCUAAAAACCCACAAAUUCCAAUGUAAGUUUAAAAUAUAAUCUAAAAAGGUACAGCUUUUUAGAACUAGGAUACAGCCUUUAUUAGAGAGUAAGCAUUAACAUAACCAUAGUUGGCUUAAAAGCAGCCAUCAAUUAAGAAAGCGUUCAAGCUCAACAAUCAAAACAACUUAAUCCCAAAAACAUAUAUCCAACUCCUAAUAUUAAUACCGGGUCAAUCUAUUUAACAAUAGAAGCAAUAAUGCUAACAUAAGUAACAAGAAAUAUUUCUCCUUGCAUAAGCUUAUAUCAGAACGGAUAACCACUGAUAAUUAACAACAAGAUACAUAUAACCCAACAAUAAAACAAAUAUCAAGCCAAUUGUUAACCCAACACAGGUAUGCAAUUAAGGAAAGAUUAAAAGAAGUAAAAGGAACUCGGCAAACAUAAACCCCGCCUGUUUACCAAAAACAUCACCUCUAGCAUUUCCAGUAUUAGAGGCACUGCCUGCCCGGUGACACUAGUUAAACGGCCGCGGUAUCCUGACCGUGCAAAGGUAGCAUAAUCACUUGUUCUCUAAAUAAGGACUAGUAUGAAUGGCCACACGAGGGUUUCACUGUCUCUUACUUCCAAUCCGUGAAAUUGACCUUCCCGUGAAGAGGCGGGAAUAUAAAAAUAAGACGAGAAGACCCUAUGGAGCUUCAAUUAAUUAAUCCAAGGAGAUCAACAUUCACCGAUAGGAAUAACAAACCUCCACAAUGGAUUAACAAUUUAGGUUGGGGUGACCUCGGAGCAUAAAACAACCUCCGAGCGAUUUAAAUCAAGACUUACCAGUCAAAAGUAUUACAUCACUUAUUGAUCCAAAUAAACAUUUGAUCAACGGAACAAGUUACCCUAGGGAUAACAGCGCAAUCCUAUUUUAGAGUCCAUAUCGACAAUAGGGUUUACGACCUCGAUGUUGGAUCAGGACACCCCGAUGGUGCAGCAGCUAUCAAAGGUUCGUUUGUUCAACGAUUAAAGUCCUACGUGAUCUGAGUUCAGACCGGAGUAAUCCAGGUCGGUUUCUAUCUAUUAAAUAAUUUCUCCCAGUACGAAAGGACAAGAGAAAUGAGGCCCACUUCACUAAAGCGCCUCCAACCUAAUAGAUGAUAUAAUCUUAAUCUAAACAGUUUCACCAUACACUACCCAAGAGUUCGGGUCC
Molecule: ribosomal RNA, 1569 nt
Filed under: Viverricula indica (small Indian civet)
Lineage: Eukaryota; Metazoa; Chordata; Mammalia; Carnivora; Viverridae
Description: 16S ribosomal RNA
Rfam family: Bacterial large subunit ribosomal RNA
Source: RNAcentral